Molecule: small nuclear RNA, 19 nt
Filed under: Arabidopsis thaliana (thale cress)
Lineage: Eukaryota; Viridiplantae; Streptophyta; Magnoliopsida; Brassicales; Brassicaceae
Description: snRNA_06307
Source: RNAcentral
CAAAAACUAAGUCUGGGGG